Mesocricetus auratus (golden hamster) is the source of this 273-nucleotide long non-coding RNA. RefSeq lists it as uncharacterized. Lineage: Eukaryota; Metazoa; Chordata; Mammalia; Rodentia; Cricetidae. The record is from RefSeq and is a predicted model, not a curated record. The transcript is spliced from 3 exons.
CCCUCUGGAGGUGGUAGCAGUCAACCAAACAGGACAGUUGUAUGACUGUGCACCUGCCACUGGCAUAUGCCAACCCGUCGUACUGCCCCUUCCCCUAGAGGCUGUGAACAUGUCCCUGGGCCUGUCUCUGGUGGCUGCUACCAAUCACUCCCAGUUGCUGGCCUGCGGUCCAACUGUGCAGAGAGCUUGUGAGAAGAACAUGUAUGCAAAGGGUUCCUGCCUCCUUCUUGGCUCAAGUUUGCAGUUCAUCCAGGCAGUCCCUGCUACCCUGCC